Molecule: transfer RNA, 85 nt
Filed under: Felis catus (domestic cat)
Lineage: Eukaryota; Metazoa; Chordata; Mammalia; Carnivora; Felidae
Rfam family: tRNA
About the family: Transfer RNA (tRNA) molecules are approximately 80 nucleotides in length. Their secondary structure includes four short double-helical elements and three loops (D, anti-codon, and T loops).
Source: Rfam by way of RNAcentral
ACCUGGCUGGCUCAGUCAGUUGAGCAACUGACUUCAGCUCAGGUCAUGAUCUCAUUGUUUGUGGGUUCGAGCCCCGCAUCAGGCU